UUGCAUUUUGCAAUCAAAAGAAAAGAUAUAAAUCUCGCAAAAAUUCUUUUAGCUCGCGGGCAUCCCGCAACAGUCUCAAAUAAGCAUGGAAUCACCCCACUCCACCUGGCCUACGAGCUUGAGAGCAAAGAGUUGAUCGAUCUUCUACUGGAGCAUAAAGCCAGCAAAGUGGUGCCCUCCGUGGACGGCCUCAGGCCUUCGGCGAUGACACCUCUUAGCGAACAGUACAAAACUGCUGGAACGCCUGCUGGUUUUGAUGGAAGCUUAAUAGUCUCCUCCUCGCAAGAGGCGCUACCUAUAAGGAUGCUGCAGAGAGCAUUGGAACCUACUAAGCGGAUGGAAUCACUCAAAUUUAAUACCAAAAGAAAAUAAUACUUUACUCCAAAACUUCACUUAAUAAAUAAAUA
Long non-coding RNA from Zophobas morio, 407 nucleotides. RefSeq lists it as uncharacterized. NCBI's taxonomy places the organism in Eukaryota, Metazoa, Arthropoda, Insecta, Coleoptera, Tenebrionidae. The record is from RefSeq and is a predicted model, not a curated record. The transcript has 5 exons.